UACGUAGGGGGCACGCGUUGUCCGGAUUUACUGGGCGUAAAGAGCGUGUAGGCGGCCAAGCAGGUCCGUUGUGAAAACUGGAGGCUUAACCUCCAGACGUCGACGGAAACCGCGUGGCUAGAGUCCGGAAGAGGAGAGUGGAAUUCCUGGUGUAGCGGUGAAAUGCGCAGAUAUCAGGAAGAACACCAAUGGCGAAGGCAGCUCUCUGGGACGGUACUGACGCUGAGACGCGAAAGCGUGGGGAGCGAACAGG
RNAcentral lists this ribosomal RNA (253 nucleotides) under uncultured bacterium. RNAcentral describes it as "partial 16S ribosomal RNA". It matches the Rfam family "Bacterial small subunit ribosomal RNA", at positions 524 to 776 of the family's 1533-position model. The record is from RNAcentral.